UCUAAGAGGCCGAGGUUUUGGAACUGGUGU
Molecule: non-coding RNA, 30 nt
Filed under: Mus musculus (house mouse)
Lineage: Eukaryota; Metazoa; Chordata; Mammalia; Rodentia; Muridae
Also listed under: 1 other name
Source: RNAcentral